AUUGAACGCUGGCGGCAUGCUUUACACAUGCAAGUCGAACGGCAGCGCGGGCUUCGGCCUGGCGGCGAGUGGCGAACGGGUGAGUAAUACAUCGGAACGUUCCCAGUAGCUUGGGAUUGCUCGGCGAAAGCUGGAUCUAUUCCCCAUACGACCCGAGUGUGAAAGUGGUGGAUCUUCGGACCUCUCGCUAUUGGAUCGGCCGGUGGCCGAUUAGCUAGUUGGUGGGGUAAUGGCCUACCAAGGCGACGACCUGUAGCUGGUCUGAGAGGACGACCAGCCACACUGGGACUGAGACACGGCACAGACUCCUACGGGAGGCAGAAGUGGGGAAGUUUGGACAAUGGGCGAAAGCCUGAUCAAGCAAUGCAGCGUGUGUGAUGAAGGCCUUCGGGUUGGAAAGCACUUUUGGCGGGGACGAAAAGGACUGUGAGAAAACAAGGGUUCGAUGACGGUACCCGCAGAAUAAGCACCGGCUAACUACGUG
RNAcentral lists this ribosomal RNA (484 nucleotides) under uncultured bacterium. RNAcentral's name for it is "partial 16S ribosomal RNA". It matches the Rfam family "Bacterial small subunit ribosomal RNA", at positions 30 to 507 of the family's 1533-position model. The record is from RNAcentral.